This 311-nucleotide ribosomal RNA is filed under the name uncultured bacterium. RNAcentral describes it as "bacterial SSU rRNA". It matches the Rfam family "Bacterial small subunit ribosomal RNA", at positions 9 to 310 of the family's 1533-position model. The record is from RNAcentral.
GAGUUUGAUCGUGGCUCAGGACGAACGCUGGCGGCGCGCCUAACACAUGCAAGUCGAACGGGAUGCGGAGAGGAUUUAUCUUUUCUGUGUUUAGUGGCGAACGGGUGAGUAACGCGUGAGGAACCUGCCUCAAAAGAGGGGGACAACAGUUGGAAACGACUGCUAAUACCGCAUAAGCCCACGGGGCCGCAUGGCCCUGAGGGAAAAGGAGCAAUCCGCUUUGAGAUGGCCUCGCGUCCGAUUAGCUGGUUGGUGAGGUAACGGCCCACCAAGGCGACGAUCGGUAGCCGGACUGAGAGGUUGAACGGCCA